Dendrobium catenatum is the source of this 584-nucleotide long non-coding RNA. RefSeq lists it as uncharacterized. Lineage: Eukaryota; Viridiplantae; Streptophyta; Magnoliopsida; Asparagales; Orchidaceae. The record is from RefSeq and is a predicted model, not a curated record. The transcript is spliced from 2 exons.
ACAACAGGCUCUUUAACCUGUUUUUUUGGUUUUUUUUUCAAUCAUCCAUUUGCAACAUAAUUUGAAGAAGGUAUUAAUGAGCUGGAUUUUUUUUUAAAAAACUUACUUGUAAAUGUGAAAAUAUUGAUCAACAAAUUGGAUUUGCACUAAUGAAUACUGAAAAUUUGCAGAAAAGUCCAGGCUAACAAAUGUGCUAAAGAAAUUUAAAUAAGCUAUAGCUGCAUAGAGCCAAAAAAUCGAGAAAUUAUUACGUUUUAAUUCGCUAAAAAAUAUUAAAUCAUUGUCUGGUAAGAUCUGCUCUCAAGAAUCUAGUAUACAAAAGGCAUCUAAAGCUGAGCACACUUGGCUACAGUUCGCUCUUAUAUUGCUUGAUUUCAUUGAACGAUUUGAGCCAAUUUGAACCAUUCUCAUUUACCACAGGCCUUUGCAGCUUCAUUCAGAAGUUAUAAAAAAAAGUAAAGAAUUCCAAAAUUAAUAUAAUAGAGAAACGCAAUUUAAACCCAAGAAAUUCACGUCCUAACAAUUACCACAUUAGUCGAGUCAAACCUCCCACCUAGCCCAACUUCAAGAAUAGCAACAUCAAC